GCCUGGGUGGCUCAGUUGGUGAGGCGUCUGAUUUUGGCUCAGGUCUUGAUCUCACAGCUGGUGGGUUCGAGCCCCACAUCGGGCU
RNAcentral lists this transfer RNA (85 nucleotides) under Felis catus (domestic cat). It matches the Rfam family "tRNA". Rfam says of the family: Transfer RNA (tRNA) molecules are approximately 80 nucleotides in length. Their secondary structure includes four short double-helical elements and three loops (D, anti-codon, and T loops). Lineage: Eukaryota; Metazoa; Chordata; Mammalia; Carnivora; Felidae. The record is from Rfam by way of RNAcentral.